RNAcentral lists this ribosomal RNA (460 nucleotides) under uncultured bacterium. RNAcentral's name for it is "partial 16S ribosomal RNA". It matches the Rfam family "Bacterial small subunit ribosomal RNA", at positions 338 to 795 of the family's 1533-position model. The record is from RNAcentral.
CCUACGGGGUGCAGCAGUGAGGAAUAUUGGUCAAUGGACGCAAGUCUGAACCAGCCAUGCCGCGUGCAGGAAGACGGCUCUAUGAGUUGUAAACUGCUUUUGUACGAGGGUAAACGCAGAUACGCGUAUCUGUCUGAAAGUAUCGUACGAAUAAGGAUCGGCUAACUCCGUGCCAGCAGCCGCGGUAAUACGGAGGAUUCAAGCGUUAUCCGGAUUUAUUGGGUUUAAAGGGUGCGUAGGCGGUCGGAUAAGUUAGAGGUGAAAUCCCGAGGCUCAACUUCGGAAUUGCCUCUGAUACUGUUCGGCUAGAGAGUAGUUGCGGUAGGCGGAAUGUAUGGUGUAGCUGUGAAAUGCUUAGAGAUCAUACAGAACACCGAUUGCGAAGGCAGCUUACCAAGCUACUUCUGACGUUGAGGCACGAAAGCGUGGGGAGCAAACAGGAUUAGAUACCCUAGUAGUC